UAGCAUAUCAAUAAGCGGAGGAAAAGAAACCAACAGGGAUUGCCCCAGUAACGGCGAGUGAAGCGGCAACAGCUCAAAUUUGAAAUCUGGCCCCUCGGGCCCGAGUUGUAAUUUGUAGAGGAUGCUUUUGGCAAGGUGCCGCCCGAGUUCCCUGGAACGGGACGCCGCAGAGGGUGAGAGCCCCGUCUGGCUGGCCGCCGAGCCUCUGUAAAGCUCCUUCGACGAGUCGAGUAGUUUGGGAAUGCUGCUCAAAAUGGGAGGUAUAUGUCUUCUAAAGCUAAAUAUUGGCCAGAGACCGAUAGCGCACAAGUAGAGUGAUCGAAAGAUGAAAAGCACUUUGAAAAGAGGGUUAAACAGUACGUGAAAUUGUUGAAAGGGAAGCGCUCAUGACCAGACUUGGGCUUGGCGGAUCAUCCGGCGUUCUCGCCGGUGCACUUCGCCUCGCCCAGGCCAGCAUCAGUUCGCGCCGGGGGACAAAAGCUUCGGGAAUGUGGCUCCUCCGGGAGUGUUAUAGCCCGUUGCAUAAUACCCUGGUGCGGACUGAGGUUCGCGCAUCUGCAAGGAUGCUGGCGUAAUGGUCAUCAGCGACCCGUCUUGAAACACGGACCAAGGAGUCGUCUUCGUAUGCGAGUGUUCGGGUGUCAAACCCCUACGCGUAAUGAAAGUGAACGCAGGUGAGAGCUUCGGCGCAUCAUCGACCGAUCCUGAUGUUCUCGGAUGGAUUUGAGUAAGAGCAUACGGGGCCGGACCCGAAAGAAGGUGAACUAUGCCUGUAUAGGGUGAAGCCAGAGGAAACUCUGGUGGAGGCUCGCAGCGGUUCUGACGUGCAAAUCGAUCGUCAAAUAUGGGCAUGGGGGCGAAAGACUAAUCGAACCUUCUAGUAGCUGGUUUCCGCCGAAU
This 900-nucleotide ribosomal RNA is filed under the name Cladobotryum protrusum. Its description in RNAcentral is "LSU rRNA". It matches the Rfam family "Eukaryotic large subunit ribosomal RNA", at positions 36 to 966 of the family's 3401-position model. The record is from RNAcentral. Lineage: Eukaryota; Fungi; Ascomycota; Sordariomycetes; Hypocreales; Hypocreaceae.